RNAcentral lists this ribosomal RNA (274 nucleotides) under uncultured bacterium. RNAcentral describes it as "partial 16S ribosomal RNA". It matches the Rfam family "Bacterial small subunit ribosomal RNA", at positions 523 to 796 of the family's 1533-position model. The record is from RNAcentral.
AUACGGAGGGUCCAAGCGUUAUCCGGAUUCAUUGGGUUUAAAGGGUCCGCAGGCGGGGAAAUAAGUCAGUGGUGAAAGCCUACAGCUCAACUGUAGAACUGCCAUUGAUACUGUUUUUCUUGAGUAUAGAUGAAGUGGGCGGAAUAUAUCAUGUAGCGGUGAAAUGCAUAGAUAUGAUAUAGAACACCGAUUGCGAAGGCAGCUCACUAAACUAUUACUGACGCUCAGGGACGAAAGCGUGGGGAGCGAACUGGAUUAGAUACCCUAGUAGUCC